AAUAGAUACCCGGGUAGUCCACGCCGUAAACGAUGAAUGCUAGGUGUUAGGGGUUUCGAUACCCUUGGUGCCGAAGUUAACACAUUAAGCAUUCCGCCUGGGGAGUACGGCCGCAAGGCUGAAACUCAAAGGAAUUGACGGGGACCCGCACAAGCAGUGGAGUAUGUGGUUUAAUUCGAAGCAACGCGAAGAACCUUACCAGGUCUUGACAUCCCCCUGACCGGUACAGAGAUGUGCCUUUCCUUCGGGACAGGGGAGACAGGUGGUGCAUGGUUGUCGUCAGCUCGUGUCGUGAGAUGUUGGGUUAAGUCCCGCAACGAGCGCAACCCUUGACUUUAGUUGCCAGCAAGUAAGGUUGGGCACUCUAGAGUGACUGCCGGUGACAAACCGGAGGAAGGUGGGGAUGACGUCAAAUCAUCAUGCCCCUUAUGACCUGGGCUACACACGUACUACAAUGGCCGGUACAACGGGAAGCGAAGGAGCGAUCUGGAGCGAAUCCUAUAAAGCCGGUCUCAGUUCGGAUUGCAGGCUGCAACUCGCCUAC
This 544-nucleotide ribosomal RNA is filed under the name uncultured bacterium. RNAcentral describes it as "bacterial SSU rRNA". It matches the Rfam family "Bacterial small subunit ribosomal RNA", at positions 777 to 1319 of the family's 1533-position model. The record is from RNAcentral.